Molecule: ribosomal RNA, 389 nt
Filed under: uncultured bacterium
Lineage: Bacteria
Description: bacterial SSU rRNA
Rfam family: Bacterial small subunit ribosomal RNA
Source: RNAcentral
GACGAACGCUGGCGGCGUGCUUAACACAUGCAAGUCGAGCGGUAAGGCCCUUUCGAGGGUACACGAGCGGCGAACGGGUGAGUAACACGUGGGUGACCUGCCCUCAGCUCUGGGAUAAGCCUGGGAAACCGGGUCUAAUACUGGAUAUGACUCCAUGACGCAUGUUGUGGGGUGGAAAGCCUUGUGCGGCUGAGGAUGGGCCCGCGGCCUAUCAGCUUGUUGGUGGGGUGAUGGCCUACCAAGGCGACGACGGGUAGCCGGCCUGAGAGGCGACCGGCCACACUGGGACUGAGACACGGCCCAGACUCCUACGGGAGGCAGCAGUGGGGAAUCUUGCGCAAUGGGCGAAAGCCUGACGCAGCGACGCCGCGUGAGGGAUGACGGCCUGG